RNAcentral lists this ribosomal RNA (252 nucleotides) under uncultured bacterium. RNAcentral's name for it is "partial 16S ribosomal RNA". It matches the Rfam family "Bacterial small subunit ribosomal RNA", at positions 524 to 776 of the family's 1533-position model. The record is from RNAcentral.
UACGGAGGAUGCGAGCGUUAUCCGGAUUUAUUGGGUUUAAAGAGUGCGCAGGCGGAUUUUUAAGUCAGCGGUCAAAUCGUGGGGCUCAACCCCAUCCAGCCGUUGAAACUGGGGAUCUAGAGUGUGCGAGAGGUAUGCGGAAUGCGUGGUGUAGCGGUGAAAUGCAUAGAUAUCACGCAGAACCCCGAUUGCGAAGGCAGCAUACCGGUGCACAACUGACGCUCAGGCACGAAAGCGUGGGUAUCGAACAGG